UAAUACGAAGGGUGCAAGCGUUAAUCGGAAUUACUGGGCGUAAAGCGUGCGUAGGCGGUUUGUUAAGUCAGAUGUGAAAGCCCCGGGCUCAACCUGGGAACUGCAUUUGAUACUGGCAGGCUAGAGUACGGUAGAGGGUGGUGGAAUUCCCGGUGUAGCGGUGAAAUGCGUAGAGAUCGGGAGGAACAUCCGUGGCGAAGGCGGCCACCUGGACCAGUACUGACGCUGAGGCACGAAAGCGUGGGGAGCAAACAGG
This 256-nucleotide ribosomal RNA is filed under the name uncultured archaeon. Its description in RNAcentral is "partial 16S ribosomal RNA". It matches the Rfam family "Bacterial small subunit ribosomal RNA", at positions 521 to 776 of the family's 1533-position model. The record is from RNAcentral.